GCAGCGGCAAAACUACUCUUCAGUGCCAGAGUGUUAAGCCAGUUACGGAAGAAUCUGACUGAGACCUGGAGCUCUGGAGGAGCAACUCAACUGAAACCUGCCUGCCUGCUCUCAGUAACAAACCUGAAGAUCAAACUGUCUGGAUCUGCCUACCAUCCUUCAAGAAGCAACUUGAAGAAGCUCUGAACACUCACAAGCCUGAAGCUAAGUUCUGUCGCUGCCAAGCCCUCUGCCAUCAGUCAGUCUCUAGACCCUCCUGGUUCCCUCCCUCUGCUGCUCAGCCUGAAUCUCUGAACAGAGAGCCUUGUGUGACCAGUCCCGGAUUUGAUUCCAGCACCUGUCAACUAACCUUGUGUUUAUCAUUGAUUCAAGAAUCUGUUAAACAACCUUGUGCAAACCUUUAAUAAAUU
Long non-coding RNA from Cyprinodon tularosa, 410 nucleotides. RefSeq lists it as uncharacterized. The transcript is spliced from 3 exons. The record is from RefSeq and is a predicted model, not a curated record. NCBI's taxonomy places the organism in Eukaryota, Metazoa, Chordata, Actinopteri, Cyprinodontiformes, Cyprinodontidae.